Molecule: ribosomal RNA, 253 nt
Filed under: uncultured bacterium
Lineage: Bacteria
Description: partial 16S ribosomal RNA
Rfam family: Bacterial small subunit ribosomal RNA
Source: RNAcentral
UACAGAGGGGGCAAGCGUUGUUCGGAAUUACUGGGCGUAAAGCGCGCGUAGGCGGACCUGCAAGUCGGGGGUGAAAGCCCGAGGCUCAACCUCGGAACUGCCUUCGAUACUGCGGGUCUCGAGUCCGGGAGAGGUGAGUGGAAUUCCUAGUGUAGAGGUGAAAUUCGUAGAUAUUAGGAAGAACACCAGUGGCGAAGGCGGCUCACUGGCCCGGUACUGACGCUGAGGCGCGAAAGCGUGGGGAGCAAACAGG